CAUUAGUCUUUGCCUGAUAAUGUGCCACAUAAUUUUUAGAAAUAGUCUAAUGCCAGCUCCCCCUAAAAACGAUUGUAUUUGCAUCUGCCUGUUUCACAGAAGCACUAGACAUCUGGAGUUGCCUCUUCAGAAGAUGAACCAAAGCUCUUAGUCCUCCAAAGACUUACCUACUUGCUGUGAUCAACUGGUCAAGCCCUUAUGUAAAUGGAGCACAAUCUAUUGGCAAUUUAAUUAGUUAUUUAAUACAUUAAGUGGUCCCCUUCCCAAAUGGCCAUUUUAAAUAAUAUUUUAGCCUAACUAAAAAUGAAAUCUCUAGGAGCAAUAAUUCAGUUAUAGGAAAAGCUACCUGUGCUUUUCAUGAAUUCAUUAAAUCGUAUCCUAAUAGACUUCAGUUGUACUAGAACCUGAUUCUUGUAAAAAAUUUUAGCAUACUUAUUAAUUCCCAUAAUGCCCUAAUUAAGCACCUUUUCAGUAAUACCCAGGAUGUUUCAGAAAUUUGUAAUUUUCUUGCCUGCACUGCCCUUGUUUCAUGUGAAGAAGGAAUUUGAGACUCUAAAGCUGUCAGUCUGACACUUUUAUGAGCUACAUUCAGCAGAAGAUUUUUUUUUUUUUUGGUGGAAAAGAAAACUACAAUGGUACUCCAGGGUGUGAGCUUUACUCCCCAGCCCUAGAAACACAACUUUUAGUGAGUGUUUCUCAGCACACCUGUGCAUGCCUGCCUUUAUUAGAUUAAAACAAUGCAUACUUUUGGACCUCAGAACUCCAGAUGGCUCUCAGUGAUCCUGCUAGCAGCUUUUAAUAUGAAAGUGUGAAAUAUAGCUAUUUCAUAUCUCAACUUUUAUUACUUUCAUUGCCUGGGUGUAGUUCUUCUCUCACUGAUUUUUUUUUUGAA
Molecule: long non-coding RNA, 892 nt
Filed under: Marmota monax (woodchuck)
Lineage: Eukaryota; Metazoa; Chordata; Mammalia; Rodentia; Sciuridae
Source: RNAcentral